AUCCAGGUGACGAGUUCCAAAUAGGACGAAACGUGAGUCAAACUAGAU
Molecule: non-coding RNA, 48 nt
Organism: Schistosoma curassoni
Lineage: Eukaryota; Metazoa; Platyhelminthes; Trematoda; Strigeidida; Schistosomatidae
Source: Rfam